UACGGAGGAUGCGAGCGUUAUCCGGAUUUAUUGGGUUUAAAGGGUGCGUAGGCGGGAUGCCAAGUCAGCGGUAAAAAUGCGGUGCUCAACGCCGUCGAGCCGUUGAAACUGGCGUUCUUGAGUGGGCGAGAAGUAUGCGGAAUGUAUGGUGUAGCGGUGAAAUGCUUAGAGAUCAUACAGAACACCGAUUGCGAAGGCAGCAUGCCGGCUCCACACUGACGCUGAGGCACGAAAGCGUGGGUAUCGAACAGG
This 252-nucleotide ribosomal RNA is filed under the name uncultured Bacteroidales bacterium. RNAcentral describes it as "partial 16S ribosomal RNA". It matches the Rfam family "Bacterial small subunit ribosomal RNA", at positions 524 to 776 of the family's 1533-position model. The record is from RNAcentral. Lineage: Bacteria; Pseudomonadati; Bacteroidota; Bacteroidia; Bacteroidales.